RNAcentral lists this ribosomal RNA (465 nucleotides) under uncultured bacterium. RNAcentral's name for it is "partial 16S ribosomal RNA". It matches the Rfam family "Bacterial small subunit ribosomal RNA", at positions 338 to 795 of the family's 1533-position model. The record is from RNAcentral.
CCUACGGGCGGCAGCAGUGGGGAAUAUUGCGCAAUGGGCGAAAGCCUGACGCAGCGACGCCGCGUGAGGGAUGAAGGUCUUCGGAUCGUAAACCUCUGUCAGCAGGGAAGAACGGUCACUGUGCUAAUCAGCAGUGAAUUGACGGUACCUGCAAAGGAAGCACCGGCUAACUCCGUGCCAGCAGCCGCGGUAAUACGGAGGGUGCAAGCGUUAAUCGGAAUUACUGGGCGUAAAGCGCUCGUAGGCGGUAUGUCAAGUCAAGGGUGAAAUCCCCGGGCUCAACGUGGGAACUGCCUUUGAAACUGGCAAACUGGAGUGUGUGAGAGGAUAGUGGAAUUCCAGGUGUAGGAGUGAAAUGCGUAGAGAUCUGGAGGAACAUCAGUGGCGAAGGCGACUAUCUGGCACAUAACUGACGCUGAGGAGCGAAAGCGUGGGUAGCAAACAGGAUUAGAUACCCUGGUAGUC